AGAACGCUGGCGGCAGGCUUAACACAUGCAAGUCGAACGCAUCGCAAGAUGAGUGGCAGACGGGUGAGUAACGCGUGGGAACAUACCCUUUCCUGCGGAAUAGCUCCGGGAAACUGGAAUUAAUACCGCAUACGCCCUACGGGGGAAAGAUUUAUCGGGGAAGGAUUGGCCCGCGUUGGAUUAGCUAGUUGGUGGGGUAAAGGCCUACCAAGGCGACGAUCCAUAGCUGGUCUGAGAGGAUGAUCAGCCACAUUGGGACUGAGACACGGCCCAAACUCCUACGGGAGGCAGCAGUGGGGAAUAUUGGACAAUGGGCGCAAGCCUGAUCCAGCCAUGCCGCGUGAGUGAUGAAGGCCUUAGGGUUGUAAAGCUCUUUCACCGAUGAAGAUAAUGACGGUAGUCGGAGAAGAAGCCCCGGCUAACUUCGUGCCAGCAGCCGCGGUAAUACGAAGGGGGCUAGCGUUGUUCGGAAUUACUGGGCGUAAAGCGCACGUAGGCGGAUAUUUAAGUCAGGGGUGAAAUCCCGCAGCUCAACUGCGGAACUGCCUUUGAUACUGGGUAUCUUGAGUAUGGAAGAAGUAAGUGGAAUUCCGAGUGUAGAG
RNAcentral lists this ribosomal RNA (602 nucleotides) under Rhizobium sp. E70. RNAcentral's name for it is "bacterial SSU rRNA". It matches the Rfam family "Bacterial small subunit ribosomal RNA", at positions 30 to 680 of the family's 1533-position model. Lineage: Bacteria; Pseudomonadati; Pseudomonadota; Alphaproteobacteria; Hyphomicrobiales; Rhizobiaceae. The record is from RNAcentral.